This 2228-nucleotide long non-coding RNA is filed under the name Homo sapiens (human). Its description in RNAcentral is "HSALNT0374743". The record is from RNAcentral. Lineage: Eukaryota; Metazoa; Chordata; Mammalia; Primates; Hominidae.
UUAAGGAAAUGUCUGAGCCACAAUUCAGACAGGCAUGAGUUUCCAUCCAGGCUUGCCACUUAAGUAGCCGUCACUUAGUGACUCAAUCCUCAGACCCUCAGCUUUCUCAUGUAGAACACAGCAAUAGCAACAUCUACUCUUGCAAGUCUGCUUGUGGCUAUUCAUUUAAAUCUGGCUAUUCAUUUAAAUCAGGAACAUAUGUCAAACAAGGCUCUACGGUACAAAAUUGUUCAAUAUAAAUUUAUUAAGAUUUCUUAAGAGAAAGGGUAAAUCCUGCUGUCAAAAAAAAAUCUCCAAAUGGAAUGCGUAAUGUUAACAUUUCAUAAUGUUACUCCAUAUUUUUCCUUCAUAUUGUCACUGAUAUUAACAAACCUAUCCUUGGUAUUGUCAUUUAUUUAUACAGCAAAUAAUUAUCAAGUGUCUCUAUGAACCAGCUGCUAUUCUACACACUGGAAUAACAGCUGAAAACCACACAGACCAAGUUGCUCUCUGAAUCCUACAUCCUAGAAGCCAAUAUUAAACAUUAAGUAAGUAAACAAAAUAAUUUUAGGAGAGAGAACUGUAAAGUGUUGAUUCUAGCUCUGGUGUACCCAUGACUGAUUAUUUGCCUUCCUAAAUAUUCUCUGAGCUACUUUAAUAAAUUCCCUUUCUGCUGAAUCAGCCAGAAUUCAUUCUAUUACUUCAACUAACAAUCCAGCCAAAACAGGGAUGCCUAUUCUCUUGUAACUGACAAAGCCUUUUUCCUUUAGUUCAGAUAACAAAAGCACAUUAGAUUUCAAGCACAUUAGAUAUUUCAGAACUCAACACAUAACAUAUACCAAAAAAUCCAACCCUAAGACAGGUAUGAGAUUAUUUUUGUGUGCUGUAUAUUUUGCUAUAGUUACCAAGACAUGGUUAGCAUUUUGAAUUUUUUUUCUUAGAACAAUACAAUGAUCUAAAUCUAAAAUCUUUCACAAGGUGCAACUUUCCAGUGAUAAACAAGAACAGGAAGUGAAUCUUGAAUACAACCAGACUUCAAGUUCCCUUCACUAUUAAAGUAUCUCCUUUGCUGUCUGUUACCUGAGUCUCACUUAACCAGCGUUAAACUUCCAUCAUUCUAGCCCAACAGUUAUAAAUAUCUUUAUUUCUUUUUGAACAAAACAUAUUUCCUAUUAGACUGGAAAUUUUGACACACUCAAAUGUUUGAAGUCCCAAGAGGAAGACAGCUAAAAUAAAAGGAAUUGAGCAGCAAAGCAACUCAGAAAAGCAGAAAUGAAAACAGAUGUUAAACCUCUUUAAAACAAAUUUUUACUAAUAGCCUCAACCAAAGCUAUUUCAGUCAACUACUAGAAAUAUUCUACCUAGUCAAAAGUUCUCAACAAGCUUCCUAGGUCAUGAGCUCCUCAAGGGUGUGGGCUAACUCUUUCCAGGGUUCUAUCUACCACCCAGCAUCAUGCAUGUCAUGACUCUCCAUCAUGGGUGAUUUUGCCCCCCAAGUGUCAUUUGGCAUUAUCUGGAGACAUUUUUAGUUGUCAUGACUGGGGUAAGACUGGGGAAAGGAGGUUUUGCUAACAGCAUACACUGGGUGGAGGCCAGUGAUGCUGCCAGCCACCCUGCAGUGCACGGGACCGCCCCCACCGCAAAGGGUUAUGCAACUAAAAUGUCAAAAGUGCUGAGGGUGAGGAAACUCUAGCUUAGGUCAAUGAUGCCACUGCCCUUCAUGUUCAAAUACAAAAUCACUUAUCAUGUGGCUUCAUGUAGACUUCUGGCAACAGCUUACACGCCCUUUUAAACUGGAUACAUUAGGUCUGCUCCCUGGUAAGACACUCUGGCCACUGAGACCGCAGUUUGAAAUUCCUGCAGUGUUAAAAGCCUGAGUCUCCUUUCACAAUUAGCCAGCAAUCCAUAAGAAAAUAGCGCUGAAGGUUUCUGAGCCUGUUUCCUCAAAGUAGAUGCGAGUUCUCACCUUCCAGGGCUGUUCUAAGGAGAGAAAGUGGCACACCUGCAGAGUGUCUGGGAUGAGCCUGGCGUGUGCUUGCUGACUACCAAGGUGACAUAGUACCAAGUACAAUGCCGGACACAUGGUAUCCAACACCCAAAUACUGAACUGAGCCCAAAGUGUGAGAACUUUUUGGUUGAGAAAGGAGAUAUCUUGUGAAUAUAAGAAUGAAUGGAUUAUAUGCUUCUCUCUUAGGUAAGAUGCUGGAAAUGAUUUUAUAAGUCCACAUUUCAAUCCUUAAAAAAAAAAA